AGCGAACGCUGGCGGCAGGCCUAAAACAUGCAAGUCGAACGCCGUAGCAAUACGGAGUGGCAGACGGGUGAGUAACACGUGGGAACGUGCCCUUUGGUCCGGAACAACCCAGGGAAACUUGGGCUAAUACCGGAUAAGCCCUUACGGGGAAAGAUUUAUCGCCAAAGGAUCGGCCCGCGUCUGAUUAGCUAGUUGGUGAGGUAACGGCUCACCAAGGCUACGAUCAGUAGCUGGUCUGAGAGGANGAUCAGCCACACUGGGACUGAGACACGGCCCAGACUCCUACGGGAGGCAGCAGUUAGGAAUCUUGGACAAUGGGCGCAAGCCUGAUCCAGCCAUGCCGCGUGAGUGAUGAAGGCCUUAGGGUUGUAAAGCUCUUUCAGCGGGGAAGAUAAUGACGGUACCCGCAGAAGAAGCCCCGGCUAACUUCGUGCCAGCCGCCGCGGU
RNAcentral lists this ribosomal RNA (447 nucleotides) under uncultured bacterium. Its description in RNAcentral is "bacterial SSU rRNA". It matches the Rfam family "Bacterial small subunit ribosomal RNA", at positions 29 to 521 of the family's 1533-position model. The record is from RNAcentral.